This 800-nucleotide ribosomal RNA is filed under the name Arthrobacter sp. RNAcentral describes it as "bacterial SSU rRNA". It matches the Rfam family "Bacterial small subunit ribosomal RNA", at positions 78 to 889 of the family's 1533-position model. Lineage: Bacteria; Bacillati; Actinomycetota; Actinomycetes; Micrococcales; Micrococcaceae. The record is from RNAcentral.
GCUUGCUGGGGGAUUAGUGGCGAACGGGUGAGUAACACGUGAGUAACCUGCCCUUAACUCUGGGAUAAGCCUGGGAAACUGGGUCUAAUACCGGAUAUGACUCCUCAUCGCAUGGUGGGGGGUGGAAAGCUUUAUUGUGGUUUUGGAUGGACUCGCGGCCUAUCAGCUUGUUGGUGAGGUAAUGGCUCACCAAGGCGACGACGGGUAGCCGGCCUGAGAGGGUGACCGGCCACACUGGGACUGAGACACGGCCCAGACUCCUACGGGAGGCAGCAGUGGGGAAUAUUGCACAAUGGGCGAAAGCCUGAUGCAGCGACGCCGCGUGAGGGAUGACGGCCUUCGGGUUGUAAACCUCUUUCAGUAGGGAAGAAGCGAAAGUGACGGUACCUGCAGAAGAAGCGCCGGCUAACUACGUGCCAGCAGCCGCGGUAAUACGUAGGGCGCAAGCGUUAUCCGGAAUUAUUGGGCGUAAAGAGCUCGUAGGCGGUUUGUCGCGUCUGCCGUGAAAGUCCGGGGCUCAACUCCGGAUCUGCGGUGGGUACGGGCAGACUAGAGUGAUGUAGGGGAGACUGGAAUUCCUGGUGUAGCGGUGAAAUGCGCAGAUAUCAGGAGGAACACCGAUGGCGAAGGCAGGUCUCUGGGCAUUAACUGACGCUGAGGAGCGAAAGCAUGGGGAGCGAACAGGAUUAGAUACCCUGGUAGUCCAUGCCGUAAACGUUGGGCACUAGGUGUGGGGGACAUUCCACGUUUUCCGCGCCGUAGCUAACGCAUUAAGUGCCCCGCCUGGGGAGUACGGCCGC